Molecule: ribosomal RNA, 481 nt
Filed under: Amolops marmoratus (marbled sucker frog)
Lineage: Eukaryota; Metazoa; Chordata; Amphibia; Anura; Ranidae
Description: partial 12S ribosomal RNA
Rfam family: Bacterial small subunit ribosomal RNA
Source: RNAcentral
GCUCAGCCGUAAACAAUUAACUUACACCUACAACGCCAGGGAAUUACGAGCCAUGCUUAAAACCCAAAGGACUUGACGGUGCCUACCCACUAGAGGAGCCUGUUCUGAUAUCGAUAAUCCCCGCUACACCUCAACCACUCCUAGCUAAUCAGCCUGUAUACCUCCGUCGAAAGCCCACCAUGUGAACGCUAUAGUAGGCUCAAUGACAACUCAUCAGCACGUCAGGUCAAGGUGCAUCCAAUGGAGUGGAAGAAAUGGGCUACAAUUUCUAACAUAGAACAAACGAAAUACUGUGUGAAACCACGGUCAUGAAGGUGGAUUUAGUAGUAAGAAGAAAAUAGAGUGUUCUUCUUAACCAGGCCAUGGGGCAUUUCGAUAACCCCCAAAACGUUUAUAACCAACCAACUACACCAUAGAAGAGGCAAGUCGUAACAAGGUAAGUGUACUGGAAAGUGCACUUGGACAUCAAAAUAUAGCCUAA